Sinocyclocheilus anshuiensis is the source of this 803-nucleotide long non-coding RNA. RefSeq lists it as uncharacterized. The record is from RefSeq and is a predicted model, not a curated record. Lineage: Eukaryota; Metazoa; Chordata; Actinopteri; Cypriniformes; Cyprinidae. The transcript is spliced from 2 exons.
CCUAUGUAACAACCAUUAAAAUGAAUCAAAUUAAUUCAUCUUUAACCUAAAAUGAAAACACAACUGGGUGUGUAUAUGUGUCAGUUUAUGUUUCUCAAAGUGGCAAAACAUGUAGGAUAUUGACAUUACCCUUAUGCAUUAUUUGAUUUACAAAGUCUGUGUUCUCUGGAAAAUUAUUUACACAUGCGCCAACAGGUCUAGACUAUAAAUGAAAAGAUGCAGGUGCUUCAAACUGAAGAGACACGACCGGAUCCUCCAUUUAUAUAAACAUCUGCAAUACUGUGGGCCGAGGGAAGCCGUUUAAUGCACAACCAAACAGCGGAUAGUGGCCUACUGUGUUUAAAUCUCACGUUUGUCGCUCAUCCAUCAAAAUGAACCUGCAGAUUCUAUCCAGACUUGUAAAAACGAACAAAUCUGUCACUAUGUCAAUAAGGUUCAAAUAAAUAUCUGCUAAUCAAAAGUCUCCUGCAUCUCAUUUGCACAAAACCUCUUUAUUCAAAUCGUCUCUUUUUAUUAACAUUAUACUACCAUCAAACUUUGCUUCGCCAACAUCAGCUAGCUACUGCGUCACAUCGCCCGGUGCAUUUAAACACAAAAACUCCUAAACAUUUUAUAAAAGUGGUAAACCUCAGCGCUCUUACGGAAUGACAGACUUGCAGACGGUGCAUUAAAAUAAUCAAGAAAAAUGACUACACUCAAAGGAAAUUCACAAAUGGUGCUAACAAGGUUGCUCGUUUUCCGAGCAAAAUCAUUUUAAUGCAGACACGAGAUUGGCGGAAAGGUGCCUGUGUACGAACGCGGAA